Hemicordylus capensis (graceful crag lizard) is the source of this 3927-nucleotide long non-coding RNA. RefSeq lists it as uncharacterized. Lineage: Eukaryota; Metazoa; Chordata; Lepidosauria; Squamata; Cordylidae. The record is from RefSeq and is a predicted model, not a curated record. The transcript is spliced from 3 exons.
AAGCAAGCCAGGAAGGAGGAGGCAGCCAGAAUGGCCACCACUGUUCUCUGCAGCAGACACCUUGCUGCCCUGCCCAACCCUGCUCAGCAUUUGCCAGGAGCUCAGGGAAUGGGAUAUACUCUUUCAUCCCUGCAACAGCCCUGAGAAAGUCUUUUAAAGAAGGCAUGGGUGAAGGUCACCAACCAGAUCUCCUGACCUUUCUUGCCAAUUUAUGAAUUCCGCCUCAAGACUUAAGUCAGAUCACAACUUCCUUCUGAAAUCUGUUGAGACAACUUUGAGAUCUUUCUGUGUAUCCUUCAUGGCAAGUACCAGCUGGAAAAAAAUCAUAGAAAAAGUGAAGGCAAAAAAUACAGCCCAAGUGGUUUCAAAUCACCAAACAACACUAGACAAGAGAAAAUGGGAAUGGUGUUAUAUUAAGUAAACAAAUGACACUCUAGACUUUUGUAUAGCUUGUCUAAUUGCUUAGUGACCUUGAUGGCUGGUAGCUAUUAGCUGCAAUACACAUCUUACCAACUUAGGUGGAGGGCUGAAGUAAACAGGCAGUUUUUGAACGCAGUCAGGAGGAGAAAGACCAAUAGGCUGCUGGCUGGGCAAGAAAGAGCUUUGGAGGACUCCAAGGGCAUGUUUUGAGAAAAAUUGAUGUUGCUUUAUAGACUAGCACUGUCCGGAUGAGGUGCCCGUCUGCUAUCGGUUUCCCAAUGGCUACUUUGAAAAUAAACAGAUAUGGAAACAGCAUUGAGCAGUAUCUUGGAAGAAAACUGAUCUGAUAGACUCAAAUGACAUGUGGCAGAUCUCUCUGAACAGAAGGAAAUGGGAGGUGGGUGGGUGAGUGCAUAUCCAAUUUUAAGAGCAAAAUGGACUUGAGAGAGGAGCCCUGUCCCUAACUAUUGCUCUGGGUCCCCACCACCACCACUCUGUUGCAACCCUAUCCCUGGUUCUUUUUCUAAGCCAGACUCAGUUCUGGUUGAAGGAUAGACUAUAGGGAAGUAAUCCAUAGCAAUAGCAAUAGCAAUAGCACUUACAUUUAUAUACCGCUCUAUAGCCGAAGCUCUCUAAGCGGUUUACAAUGAUUUAGCAUAUUGCCCCCAACAUUCUGGGUACUCAUUUUACCGACCUCGGAAGGAUGGAAGGCUGAGUCAACCUUGAGCCCCUGGUCAGGAUCGAACUUGUAACCUUCUGGUUACAGGGCAGCAGUUUUACCACUGCGCCACCAGGGGCACCAUAGGCAGGGGAAGGCUUACCACUAUCACCCAAGAACACCAGGAACACUUAAAAUUGGCUCCAUGUCUUCUUUCUGUGUGAUUGGGUUAGAUCUGGGUUUAUACACACACAUCUGUUGCCAUCACAUGUAGUCUUAGGCAUUGCUUUUAAGCUAUCAGUUGGAAGCAAAAUUAAACUGGAGAACUUAUUAUACUCCCCUGUUAACAGCUAUAUCUUUCCCUAUUGCCAAGAUCCUUCUAUAUGUCCUAAACAUUUUAAUGGUUUUUAGAUUGUGAACUGCCCAGGGACUUUUUUGUAUGAGUUGGUAUAGAAAUGUAAGAAAACUUGAAGAAAGAAACAGAGGGUUUAAUACACAAGAACAGGCACUAAGAACAAAUGCAAUAAGAGCAAAAGUUGAAAAAUCCACCACAAACAGCAAGUGCCGCCUUUGUAAAGAAGCAGAUGAAACCGUGGACCACCUAAUCAGCUGUUGUAAAAAGAUCGCACAGACUGACUACAAAUAAAGGCAUGACAAAGUAGCAGGGAUGAUACACUGGAACAUCUGCAAAAAAUGCAAGCUACCUGUAGCCAAACAUUGGUGGGACCAUAAAAUUGAAAAGGUUGAAGAAAAUGAAGAUGUAAAAAUAUUAUGGGACUUCCGACUACAAACAGACAAAAACCUGCCACACAAUACACCAGAUAUAACUGUAGUCGAGAAGAAAGAAAAACAAGUUAAAAUAACCGACAUAGCAAUACCAGGGGAUAGCAAAAUAGAAGAAAAAGAAAUAGAAAAAAUCACAAAAUUCAAAGAUCUACAAAUUGAAAUUGAAAGGCUGUGGCAGAAAAAGACCCAAAUAAUCCCAGUGGUAAUUGGCGCCCUGGGUGCAGUUCCAAAAGACCUUGAAGAGCACCUCAACACCACAGGGGCCACAGAAAUCACCAUCAGCCAAUUACAAAAAGCAGCUUUACUGGGAACAGCCUAUAUUCUGCGACGAUAUCUAUAACAACUGACAAUAAAAUUCAGCCAUCCCAGGUCCUUGGGAAGGACUUGAUGUCUGGAUAAAACAAACCAGUCAAUAACACCUGUCUGACUGUGUAAACAAGAAAUAAUAAUAAUAAUAAUAAUAAUAAUAAUAAUUCCAAAACAACUUGAAGAGCACCUUAACACCAUAGGGGCCACAGAAAUCACCACCAGCCAAUUACAAAAAGCAGCUUUACUGGGAACAGCCUAUAUUUUGCGACAAUAUCUAUAAUAACCAACAGUAUUGAUGAUAAAAUUCAGCCAUUCCAGGUCCUUGGGAAGGUCCCGAUGCCUGGAUUGACAAACCAGUCAAUAACACCUGUCUGACUGUGUAAACAAGAAAUAAUAAUAUGCUAUUAUUUAUUUAUUUAUUUAAUAAUAAAUAUUGUUUACUCACAAGUAAGUCCCACUCAGCCAAGGUCUCCAGUAACUUUUAGUUUUUACAAAUUUUCUCCUUGCAGUUUCUGCCCAUUUUAUUGCAUCCUGUUCACUGCAGUUGGAGAAUUGCCCCUUAGGGAACUGGCUUCCAUUCCCAAGGGUAAAUUCCCACUGAUAAAUUAAUGGAUUCCUUCAUUUUCUUUAUCCUCUAUCUUUUUUCAUUUUUUCUUUCAAGAAAAAGAAAAGGAAAACAUGCAGAUAAACCACUAAUUAAGGCUCUAUUCCUCCCUGGGGAACAAAAAAUUGACAAUUAAGGGGUAAUUCAUCAGUAAUCCCUCAACUGCUCUGAAUGGGAAGCUAUAAACCAGGCAGAACGUACAAGGAUGUAGCUCCCAAAUAAAAGCACAAUGGCUCUUAAAAGCCCCAAUAGUGCUUUAUUUGCCUAGGUUAGACAGAUUGGUUCUGCAAUUGUGUUUUAUUGCUAUGAAAUCCCCACAAAUCAGGUCUGAAAAAAACAUAGGACAACACAGAAAGCACUGGAAUGCAAUUAUUUGUCAUCUAGAUUUAGUGAAUGUCAGGGAUAAGCUGUGGGCAGCUGCUGCUAGGUGGCACAAGGCUAGAAGCCAGGACUGGGAGAAGCAGGCAAUCAGUUGGGGCUCAGGGAUCAAAUUGGUAGCCACAGGUCAGGAAAAUGCCCAAGGUCAAACGAAAUGGACAGUCAGGAGUCAGAGGACAAACCAGUAACCAAAGGUGAGGAACGUACCAGAGGUCAAGCUGAGCAGACAGCUGAGCAGACUUCAAUGGAGCAAGGAAGAAUAAAUGCAACAAAAGCAAGUAGUUAUUCUUCCUAUCUGUAGGGAAGCCAAUAACGGCCCUCACAGGGCACAGCCAGCACAGGAGUUGGAGAUUUGAAAGCUGCUGCAAUACAGCAAGUCACCACAAGGGGCAAUGUAGGCAGAGUCUCAGCCUUUGGGAAUUCUGUGAACAAAGGAUGGGACAGUGAACAAAGGAUGGGAAUUCUAGAAAAGGGGAAGCCUUGUGGAAGCAACCUAAGACUGUCCUGGAACGUCCUUCCUCUAAUAGAAGUAGAAAGCAAACUACAGUUCAAAUAUGCAUUCAAAUCCUCCAAAUUACCAACAUUGACCUCCAGUGUAUCAUUAAAACCGAAUCGUUUCAUUUAACAAAUAGAAGUUGUCUUGAUCUGUCCAUUAGUGUGCCAGGGAGUAGGUGGUUACUUUGAAGCAUGUAACUAAGGAGUAGGAAAAGGCAAUGGGAGGUAAACAGCUGUUACAUAUCCUGCAUGAUUUGUAAUUUAAUGGGAUAAAUUU